RNAcentral lists this ribosomal RNA (254 nucleotides) under uncultured bacterium. RNAcentral describes it as "partial 16S ribosomal RNA". It matches the Rfam family "Bacterial small subunit ribosomal RNA", at positions 524 to 776 of the family's 1533-position model. The record is from RNAcentral.
UACGUAGGGACCAAGCGUUGUUCGGAUUUACUGGGCGUAAAGGGCGCGUAGGCGGCAAUUCAAGUCAUCUGUGAAAUCUCCGGGCUUAACCCGGAACGGUCAGAUGAUACUGCUUUGCUAGAGUGCGGAAGGGGCAAUCGGAAUUCUCGGUGUAGCGGUGAAAUGCGUAGAUAUCAAGAGGAACACCUGAGGUGAAGACGGGUUGCUGGGCCGACACUGACGCUGAGUGCGCGAAAGCCAGGGGAGCAAACGGG